UGCGAUACAAACGGCUGACCUACACCAUCGAGGACGAGGACAAUUUAGGCGGUGGACGUUUAGAGUAGAUGGCAUCUAAGUAGUAUUCCCGGUUUAUUUCAGGGGAGAUAAACUACUGUGAGGAGAUCAAGAAGUUGAGAGUUAAGCUGAACUAUUUGUGGAAGAGGGUUCAGGAGCUCAAAGCCAAUAACAACCAGGGCUUCGAAAAAGAUGUAAGCUCUCCUGUUAUAUGAUUUGCUACCUGUUCUUUCAUCAGCAAUUGUAUGAAUGAGGUAUCUGCCUUGCAAAUCUAUUUUGCAUAUAUUCUAUACAAGGUCGUCUAAUAAUGUGUAAAAUUCAGAGUCAUUGUACAUGACCACAACUGAAAAUUAAAAAUGCAUUUGACAAAUAGCAUCAAAUAAUUUGAAACAUUGUAUUUCUGAUUCACAUGUUGGCGUAUUUAUGCUGUGGUAACUUGGGAUUAUUCAUCUGAGAUUCUCAUUCUUAAAAUCUGUAUAUUGGUCACUCUCCUAGCGAUUCUUUUCUAUGUACUACUUUUUUGCAUCUUGAUCUGUUUGUUCUUGGUACAACUUAAGACCAUCCUGUCUUAUUGUCUUGUAUAGUUAUAUCGUCAAUUUUUCUGAAAAACACCCCAUCAGGUCAUAGGGUAUAGCUUUUUCAUAAUUUCAUAUUAGCUACCUCAGUCUUGAAGUUUAUUAUUGGGUGGUCCCGGUCAGGUAGGUCAACAACAAUUUAAGCAUAGGUACAAGGCAGCGAUCAGAGGUGCAAAUCGACGACCGGCUUUUCAUGUUGCAUAUUCUUCAUUUCUUUUUCCUAGCUCAGUUUGUUGGUGCAUUCGGAUUUUGUUUCGGGGACAAAGAAUAGUCCAAUUUUGAUUGGGGAACCUGUUGUGGGAGAAAUGACUAUAGCUAAAGGGUUGGCAACCAUGGAAUGCUACUAAUGAAGAUUCAGUUUAAAUUUUACAAGCAUACACAUGUGUUUGAAUGUUUUAGUUCAUCUAUGCUUUUUAUUAUAUAUUUUUUACAGAAUAGUGGGGUUAUAGUUAUUCUGAGAGCCUUGUUGAGAGUAUUCUUAAUUGUAUUCAUUGCUUCAGGUACCUACUUAUAUGCCUUAUAAGUAUUCUCCUACAAUUUGACAUGCUACAAAAGGAGAAGAUUUAUAUAUGUUUCUCAAGCAUUUUUACUAAACUAUGUGUGAUGUCAUACAGAGAAGCUAAAAAGUACGGCAGCAUGAUUAGUGCGCACAGUUCCGCCUCAAGAGAUGCGCCCAGGGCGCGUCCCAGCUACCAGUCAUCUCACCUUCAUCUCUAUAGAUAUAAGUCUUUGUUGGAUGUAAGACCGCUACUCUGUGUUCAUAUAAGCCUACCUAUUAAUAAUAUCUCUGAUUUAUUUUAUGAAUAUACAUUGCAAGUAAUGCAUUUUUGUUGGUCCUA
RNAcentral lists this long non-coding RNA (1432 nucleotides) under Triticum aestivum (bread wheat). RNAcentral's name for it is "long non-coding RNA (TAES_LNC002418)". Lineage: Eukaryota; Viridiplantae; Streptophyta; Magnoliopsida; Poales; Poaceae. The record is from RNAcentral.